GCUCGGGUGGCUCAGUUGGUUGAGUGCCUGACUUGAGCUCAGGUCAUGGUUUUACGGUUUGGGUUCGUGGGAUCGAGCCCCGCGUCGGGCU
This 91-nucleotide transfer RNA is filed under the name Felis catus (domestic cat). It matches the Rfam family "tRNA". Rfam says of the family: Transfer RNA (tRNA) molecules are approximately 80 nucleotides in length. Lineage: Eukaryota; Metazoa; Chordata; Mammalia; Carnivora; Felidae. The record is from Rfam by way of RNAcentral.